UACGGGGGGGGCAAGCGUUGUUCGGAAUUACUGGGCGUAAAGGGCUCGUAGGCGGCCAACUAAGUCCGACGUGAAAUCCCUCGGCUUAACCGGGGAACUGCGUCUGAUACUGGAUGGCUUGAAUCCGGGAGAGGGAUGCGGAAUUCCAGGUGUAGCGGUGAGAUGCGUAGAUAUCUGGAGGAACACCGGUGGCGAAGGCGGCAUCCUGGACCGGCAUUGACGCUGAGGAGCGAAAGCCAGGGGAGCAAACGGG
This 253-nucleotide ribosomal RNA is filed under the name uncultured bacterium. Its description in RNAcentral is "partial 16S ribosomal RNA". It matches the Rfam family "Bacterial small subunit ribosomal RNA", at positions 524 to 776 of the family's 1533-position model. The record is from RNAcentral.